CCUACGGGGUGCAGCAGUGGGGAAUAUUGGACAAUGGGGGCAACCCUGAUCCAGCCAUGCCGCGUGUGUGAAGAAGGCCCUCGGGUUGUAAAGCACUUUCAGUGAGGAAGAACGCCUGGUGGUUAAUACCCAUCAGGAAAGACAUCACUCACAGAAGAAGCACCGGCUAACUCCGUGCCAGCAGCCGCGGUAAUACGGAGGGUGCGAGCGUUAAUCGGAAUUACUGGGCGUAAAGCGCGCGUAGGUGGCUUGAUAAGCCGGUUGUGAAAGCCCCGGGCUCAACCUGGGAACGGCAUCCGGAACUGUCAAGCUAGAGUGCAGGAGAGGAAGGUAGAAUUCCCGGUGUAGCGGUGAAAUGCGUAGAGAUCGGGAGGAAUACCAGUGGCGAAGGCGGCCUUCUGGACUGACACUGACACUGAGGUGCGAAAGCGUGGGUAGCAAACAGGAUUAGAUACCCCGGUAGUC
Molecule: ribosomal RNA, 465 nt
Filed under: Vreelandella stevensii
Lineage: Bacteria; Pseudomonadati; Pseudomonadota; Gammaproteobacteria; Oceanospirillales; Halomonadaceae
Description: partial 16S ribosomal RNA
Rfam family: Bacterial small subunit ribosomal RNA
Source: RNAcentral